This 506-nucleotide ribosomal RNA is filed under the name uncultured bacterium. RNAcentral describes it as "partial 16S ribosomal RNA". It matches the Rfam family "Bacterial small subunit ribosomal RNA", at positions 29 to 523 of the family's 1533-position model. The record is from RNAcentral.
AGUGAACGCUGGCGGUAGGCCUAACACAUGCAAGUCGAAAGGCAGCACAGAGGAGCUUGCUCCUUGGGUGGCGAGUGGCGGACGGGUGAGGAAUACAUCGGAAUCUACUCUGUCGUGGGGGAUAACGUAGGGAAACUUACGCUAAUACCGCAUACGACCUACGGGUGAAAGCAGGGGAUCUUCGGACCUUGCGCGAUUGAAUGAGCCGAUGUAGGAUUAGCUAGUUGGCGGGGUAAAGGCCCACCAAGGCGACGAUCCGUAGCUGGUCUGAGAGGAGGAUCAGCCACACUGGAACUGAUACACGGUCCAGACUCCUAGGGGAGGCAGCAGUGGGGAAUAUUGGACAAUGGGCGCAAGCCUGAUCCAGCCAUAACGCGUGGGUGAAGAAGGCCUUCGGGUUGUAAAGCCCUUUUGUUGGGAAAGAAAUCCAUCUGGUUAAUACCCGGAUGGGAUGACGGUACCCAAAGAAUAAGCACCGGCUAACUUCGUGCCAGCCGCCGCCGUAA